RNAcentral lists this long non-coding RNA (1549 nucleotides) under Capsella rubella. RNAcentral's name for it is "long non-coding RNA (CRUB_LNC004260)". Lineage: Eukaryota; Viridiplantae; Streptophyta; Magnoliopsida; Brassicales; Brassicaceae. The record is from RNAcentral.
CCGGCUUGGUUGUUGGAUAGGAUUGAGCAAGAACGUCGUGGUAGCGGUUGAGGCUUGGUGUCUGCAUUUUUAUGUUUCAGCUUUUUACAAGCUCCUCUGUUUUUUUCAAUUCUGGUUUUUACUACCAAGUUAUUAAUAAAGUUGCUGAAGUGUUUUAAAAAAAAAAACAAAUUAAAGAAACAAAAUUGUAGGAUUUUUAUUAGAGAAUUUGUUAGAAAUACCCCUUUUGGAUUACUUAUUUUUAAAAAUACUCCUAUUUUUUGCCAUUUUGAAAUUUACCCUUCUUUAAUCUUUUAAGACUAUUCUACCCUCAUCUCUUACUCAACCUUUCUUCUCAAAACUGGCAAUCACCGAUUUGUUUUUUUUUUCUCAGAUUGCCGUCUCCGUAUGCUUUACCGUCGUCAAAAUUCGGAACUCGCCAUCGUUGUUUCUUUCUCUAUGGAAGAUUGUUGUUCCCGUAUCUGUCAUUCGUCGAUCUCGUCGUUGUUGAAAUUGGAGAACUCUUUGUUGCUAGGAUCUAUCUCGCCUUCGUUUCUCAACUCCAAAUCGCCUCAUCUCAAAAUCAAUCAUCCAUAGAGACAAGAGAUUAUUCACGCUGAAAUCGUUCAAAAUUGUGGUCGAGUCCAGAUUCAGGUAUCAUGCUUUAAUCCUUGUUUUUGCUUCCUCAUGUUCUCUUCUCUGUUUCAUUCGUCAUUUUUGCCCCUAGAUCUAAAUUCGCGAAUAAAAGCUUGAUUUUCAAGCGAUUUAGAACUUGAUUCACCCCUCUUGUAUUGAUUUCUUCUAGCAUGAUUAUUUUCAUGCGAUUUAGAGCUUGAUUCACUCUUUAGUUGGCUUCAUUGAAAUCUGUUAAGGUUUUGAUUUUAUUUAAUGAAAAAAAUUGGCUCAAGGGUUUGAAAAUCAGCUUGAAAUCUGAAGCAAAUAAACAAGAAUUGUUGAUUUGUGGUAUCUGAGUACGUUCUAAUCUAAUUUAGAAGAGCAUCCAUUGAGACAGACAUGUGUUUUCUAAUUCAAUGAUAGCUUGAAAUUGAAUUUUGAUUGUUUGAUUCAAGUUCGAUUUGUGGGGUUGAUGGGGUUUUUGAAGAAGUUAAUGGUAGAUUCUUGGGUUGAAGACUAACAAUGGUGGGCAUGGAUUGGAUUGGAUUUCUCGUUUUCAAAGCUUUGUUGCUUAUAUGAUUUUGUUUGCCGUGAUAUUAUUGAUUGUUACAGUAAAGAACUGCAGCCUGCAGUAACAAGUUAUGAAGAAGGUAGCAAUCUCUUUUGUGAUUUGAAUGAAGGAGUACCACGUGAGGAAGGAGAAGUGAAUACACAGGAUUAGGAGUGAAGAGUUUUUGUAUAUAAUUAUAACAUGUUCGUUGGCUUUCACUUGAAAAACACUUCAAAACUGUAACACUUGUGUCCUCAUCUUCACUCCCGAUUUCCGGUUCUUCGUGAGUUGUCACCACAUUCACUUCACAUGAUGAUGAAUUGGUUUGAUUUUGUACUUGUUUAAUAACAAUCUUUGAAUAUAUAAUAUGUUUAUUAGUAAUAUACAUUAGAAGUUUUGAAAAAA